This 524-nucleotide long non-coding RNA is filed under the name Bos taurus (domestic cattle). RNAcentral describes it as "long non-coding RNA NONBTAT022187". The record is from RNAcentral. Lineage: Eukaryota; Metazoa; Chordata; Mammalia; Artiodactyla; Bovidae.
UUUAGACCCAGAAACACAGAAGGAGGAAACAUCAAGGAUUAAUAUAGCCUGAAGUUGUGUGACAAAGUAGAAACAGCUGAAGAUGACAGAGAACAGGAAAACAUGGGGAAAAUAAUGUAUUUGUCACGAAUGGAAAAGUUAAAAGAUUUAUUGCUGGAGAAGAGGAAUAAAAAAGGAGGGGAACUAAGAUUAUCUAUUACACAACAUCGUAUAUUUUUGAAAGGAAAGAAAAACAACAGUGUAAAGAAAACAUGAGUGCAAUAACAUGUACAUUGUGAAUAGCAGGGGAAAAAAAUCAAAUCAGGAUUUAAAAACCUUUUCAAUUAUUGAGAAUCGCUUAAAAAACAAUUAUGAAUCAUCUUUAUUAAUGUGGGGGUUUGUGAUGAGGUUUCUCAGUAUUUUUUAAUUAAACAUAAGAUAGUCAAUUCAAAUAGUUUUAAAUUUUAAUUUUAUUUAAUUCUGUAAAAUGUCUUCAAAAUUUUCAGUUCCAUAUAAUGUCACAUUUAGGGAAAUCAAAGAGAGGU